RNAcentral lists this ribosomal RNA (20 nucleotides) under Caecosagitta macrocephala. RNAcentral describes it as "partial 5.8S rRNA". Lineage: Eukaryota; Metazoa; Chaetognatha; Sagittoidea; Aphragmophora; Sagittidae. The record is from RNAcentral.
AAACAACUGCGGACGCGGAU